This 68-nucleotide non-coding RNA is filed under the name human gut metagenome. Its description in RNAcentral is "Fluoride riboswitch". It matches the Rfam family "Fluoride riboswitch aptamer (crcB RNA motif)", at positions 10 to 62 of the family's 64-position model. The record is from RNAcentral.
GAAUUUGGGAAUGAAGUUCUCCCAUGGGAAACCAGAACCGCUGAUUUCAGCUGAUGACUUCUACGAUU